This 252-nucleotide ribosomal RNA is filed under the name uncultured bacterium. RNAcentral describes it as "partial 16S ribosomal RNA". It matches the Rfam family "Bacterial small subunit ribosomal RNA", at positions 524 to 776 of the family's 1533-position model. The record is from RNAcentral.
UACGUAGGGUGCAAGCGUUAAUCGGAAUUACUGGGCGUAAAGCGUGCGCAGGCGGUUUUGUAGUCUGUCGUGAAAGCCCCGGGCUCAACCUGGGAAUUGCGAUGGAGACUGCAAGGCUUGAAUCUGGCAGAGGGGGGUAGAAUUCCACGUGUAGCAGUGAAAUGCGUAGAGAUGUGGAGGAACACCGAUGGCGAAGGCAGCCCCCUGGGUCAAGAUUGACGCUCAUGCACGAAAGCGUGGGGAGCAAACAGG